AUGGCAGUUGUGGCCCAGCAAGAAGCUUGCCUCUCCAGAUCAAUCACUCCAGAAGAGGAGAGGAAAAGGGAGCCGUCUGACUGCCUUGUUCUUUCUGCAGAAUACAGCUCAGUUGUGGGUCCCCCAAAAGCCCCUGAAGAAUUAAAUAAAAAAAAGAGGUGGUGUCAACUGCGGUGCCUUGGAAUUCUCUUUUUUUUUCACGCAGGGUCAGCCGUCCUGCUGGCCUCCUCUCGCCACCCUGCCCUCUGGUCAGAAGCCCGGCUCCUCGCCGGGGAAGGGCCUGUGCUGGCACGCCUGGAGCUGGGACUUGUGCCCCAUGGGGUGUCAGGAGUCUCUGGUGCCCCGCGUUCAACCCCACAGGGCCGGGCUGUUUGCUCCCCAUCGGUCGCUGUUCUCGCUUCCUGGAUUAUUAAGGACUCAUUUGCUUGGAGCGGCAUCAUUACAAGUGUUUGGGGUACUAAAUAUACUCCCUAUUUUUCUGUUUUCGAAAGGCUGCAGGCGCGAUGCACAGUGCGCUUGCACGGUGGGGCCUCGUGCUUGCCAUAGGAGCAGGCGGAGGCCGGGCAGGGGCGGUGGGCGCCGGCCACGUCUCGGUGGGACUCAGCCAGGCGGUCCCCGCGUGGCGGCCUCGGCGGGCCCUGCAGCCCUUCAUUCCCGGAGGAGGGCUGGGGGCCGGGCGCGGGGCGCUUCCCCUCCUCAGAGCCUUCAAACCGCAAGGGGGAUUCGGCUUCCCAGUCGAUGGUCGUCCUCUCCUAUACCCGGCUGCAUCUCCAUUUACCGUCGCCCAUUUCCUCUGGCCGCCCAGGCUCCUUGGCUCCACUGGGGUCUCCGUUCCCUGCUCCCGGUCCCCCAGGCAGGUCGCGGCUGCUUUGUCCAGGAUUCCACAGGGGCUUGACCCAAGGGCGUUGGUUUAGGCCGGAUCCGGGUCCCUCGUCACUCCCCGGCUUCUUCCACUUCCGGAUCCUGGAGAACCGGGAAUCCAGCCCUGCGUGUGCCUCUCCUUCCUCCUCCGUGCUGAAAGCACACUCCAGGCACGCUUCCUGUCUGCGGGGCAUCAGUUCUGAAAGUGAGCUGAGAACAAGGAGUUUCUUUUUCUUCCCCGGAAGUUGCCUUUUGUAAGGACUGUGUCUGCGCCGAGGCUUGAUGCCUGUUGCUGCUCCUGGGAGUGCGGGCCUGGGAAGUUGAUGAAAAUGUCAACAUUAGCUUUAGUGGUGAGGCCAAAGGGAAGACGGACCCAGCAUCAAGCCUGGGUAGAGGAGAACGGGAGAGGGAGGACCCGAAAGGCGUGUUACCAGAACCAGGGCACGCUGUUCACUGCUUUGGGAUGUCUGAAUCCUGCCUUUGCUGUUUGAGAGCUCUAGGACUGUGGGCCUCGGAAAGCCUUCCAGGAAUGGACUUUCUGCAGUAUGAUGACCUGCAAAAGCAGCCCUUCCAUUUACAUUUCAAACUCCAAGUCAGCCGUGUCAAAGUUUGAACCAGGACUGUGGAGGAUAAUGGGUCAGAUGCAAUUAGCAGCCCAGAGAGCUGCAUGUUGCAGUCUGAUUUAUUUUUUUGCCCAUCAGAUUCCAAGAAUCCUAGUGCUUAAAAGCAACUAAACAAUCGCUCUAUUGUACUGAAAUAAAGCCCAGUUAAUUCAGAAAUCAAUUGCACCACCAGGUGGGGCACACUCUGGCCCCAAACAGAUGGGGUUGAAAACUCCCCCCAAAAUGCAGUCUUGUUAAAUUAAAAACUUGAUCCAGGAGUGGAACAAAUAGGGAGCCAUGAAUAGAAUGGAGUCAGGUCCACUCAGGCGGAUUCUUUCUUCUCCCACUCCUUUUCCUUUAAAAAAGAAAAACUCCCCAUUUCACUUUCAUCAGUGUUAGCAUCUAUGCAGAAAUGCAGCCACCUACCCUUUCAGUUCAAUGUGUUACUUUAAUUAGUCUGAAAAUUAAAGGGCAACUCUGGGCCAAUGUGAAUGAUUAUGAAAAUACAUGUGCAUCCCAUGCAAUCUUCUCAUUUAAUUAAUAGUCUUGUAAACUAUAUGGCUCACUUUAAGUCAGUCAAGAGGUAUAACAACUCCAUUUUAAAUAUCGACUUAAUACUUAACAGGAUGUGAGGAACACACUAUAGCAUACGGUCCCUUCUCAAGUUUCACUGUCUGAAAUUUUUCAAAGCUGACCCAAGUCAACCCGAAAAAUGUUUAACACCCUGGGCUUGAACACAAGAAACUCUGUGAUGAACAGACAUUCAAUUACAUUUUUUAAAAGUGAGAAGCAUUUUUGUAAAAUAGUGACUCUGGAAACUAAUUGGCAGCCGCAAAACUUGUGAGCGAAGGCCAAAUCUUGUGGGGAACUUUUACUACAGUAACACGACUCAAAGAAAAUGUGAAUAAAAGGCAUCUUUGUUUCCCAGUCAAAUUAGCUGAUUAAGAAAUAAAACAUCUUAACAUGUUUUUAAA
Sapajus apella (tufted capuchin) is the source of this 2437-nucleotide RNA transcript. RefSeq lists it as uncharacterized. The transcript is spliced from 4 exons. The record is from RefSeq and is a predicted model, not a curated record. NCBI's taxonomy places the organism in Eukaryota, Metazoa, Chordata, Mammalia, Primates, Cebidae.